Molecule: ribosomal RNA, 370 nt
Filed under: uncultured bacterium
Lineage: Bacteria
Description: bacterial SSU rRNA
Rfam family: Bacterial small subunit ribosomal RNA
Source: RNAcentral
AUUGAACGCUGGCGGCAGGCCUAACACAUGCAAGUCGAGCGGGGGUAGCAAUACCCUAGCGGCGAACGGGUGAGGAAUGCUUGGGAAUCUGCCUGGUAGUGGGGGAUAACGUUCCGAAAGGAACGCUAAUACCGCAUACGUCCUACGGGAGAAAGGGGGGGAUCUUCGGACCUCUCGCUAUCAGAUGAGCCCAAGCGGGAUUAGCUAGUUGGUGAGGUAAAGGCUCACCAAGGCGACGAUCCCUAGCUGGUCUGAGAGGAUGAUCAGCCACACUGGAACUGAGACACGGUCCAGACUCCUACGGGAGGCAGCAGUGGGGAAUAUUGGACAAUGGGCGAAAGCCUGAUCCAGCCAUGCCGCGUGUGUGAAG